This 504-nucleotide ribosomal RNA is filed under the name Kocuria sp. IL_F. RNAcentral's name for it is "bacterial SSU rRNA". It matches the Rfam family "Bacterial small subunit ribosomal RNA", at positions 8 to 524 of the family's 1533-position model. Lineage: Bacteria; Bacillati; Actinomycetota; Actinomycetes; Micrococcales; Micrococcaceae. The record is from RNAcentral.
AGAGUUUGAUCCUGGCUCAGGACGAACGCUGGCGGCGUGCUUAACACAUGCAAGUCGAACGAUGAUGCCCAGCUUGCUGGGCGGAUUAGUGGCGAACGGGUGAGUAAUACGUGAGUAACCUGCCCUUGACUCUGGGAUAAGCCUGGGAAACUGGGUCUAAUACUGGAUACUACUUCUCAUCGCAUGGUGGGUGGUGGAAAGGGUUUUACUGGUUUUGGAUGGGCUCACGGCCUAUCAGCUUGUUGGUGGGGUAAUGGCUCACCAAGGCGACGACGGGUAGCCGGCCUGAGAGGGUGUCCGGCCACACUGGGACUGAGACACGGCCCAGACUCCUACGGGAGGCAGCAGUGGGGAAUAUUGCACAAUGGGCGGAAGCCUGAUGCAGCGACGCCGCGUGAGGGAUGACGGGCUUCGGGUUGUAAACCUCUUUCAGUAGGGAAGAAGCGAGAGUGACUGGUACCUGCAGAAAGCCCGCGUUAUUCCCGUGCCAGCAGCCGCGGUAAU